RNAcentral lists this ribosomal RNA (378 nucleotides) under uncultured bacterium. RNAcentral's name for it is "bacterial SSU rRNA". It matches the Rfam family "Bacterial small subunit ribosomal RNA", at positions 521 to 896 of the family's 1533-position model. The record is from RNAcentral.
UCAUACGUAGGACCCAAGCGUUAUUCGGAUUGACUGGGCGUAAAGAGUUGCGUAGGUGGUAUUUUAAGCGAAUAGUGAAAUCUUGUGGCUCAACCAUAAGGCUAUUAUUCGAACUGAAUUACUCGAGAGCGGGAGAGGUAUCUGGAAUUCUUAGUGUAGGGGUAAAAUCCGUAGAUACUAGGAGGAACACCAAUGGCGUAGGCAGGAUACUGGCCCGUUUCUGACACUAAGGCACGAAAGCGUGGGGAGCGAACCGGAUUAGAUACCCGGGUAGUCCACGCCGUAAACUAUGGAUACUAGCUGUAUGCCGUAUCGACCCGGUAUGUAGCGAAGCUAACGCGUUAAGUAUCCCGCCUGGGGAGUACGGUCGCAAGACUA